Molecule: microRNA precursor, 68 nt
Filed under: Alligator mississippiensis (American alligator)
Lineage: Eukaryota; Metazoa; Chordata; Crocodylia; Alligatoridae
Description: Ami-Mir-129-P4_pre stem-loop
Rfam family: mir-129 microRNA precursor family
About the family: The mature sequence is excised from the 5' arm of the hairpin.
Source: RNAcentral
CUUUUUGCGGUCUGGGCUUUCUGGGUCUGUCGCAGCCCGUGGCAGAAAGCCCUUACCCCAAAGAGCAU